This 1788-nucleotide long non-coding RNA is filed under the name Ananas comosus (pineapple). RNAcentral describes it as "long non-coding RNA (ACOM_LNC003440)". The record is from RNAcentral. Lineage: Eukaryota; Viridiplantae; Streptophyta; Magnoliopsida; Poales; Bromeliaceae.
CGCGUGUAGCGGUCGAUAGAGCUUCCGACCCAGGUUAUCUCGAUUUAGUUAUUACCCUCAUUAUUUCUGUGGAUACAUAUAGCUUAGACGGUUUACAUGGUUCAGUUUUGUUUUAUUAUCUGAUCAUCUGGAUUUUCAACUGGUUUUGGAAUGAGCUAAAAGAUUGGUGUUUUCUCGAAAUAAAACAGUUUUCUACCCCUCGUGGUAGCUGGUUUUGAAAAAGAAUGGUUCCCGUGUGGGGAAUAGUUUUCAAAUUGAUUUUUCUGUGGUUUUAUAGAUUUAGUAUUUCAAAAUCAGUUUCCAGGUAGGAAACAUUUUAACUGAUGGAUGUGGAAUGUUAUUCAUAACUCAAGUAUUAUAUCUGUGUGUGUGAAUGGAAUGGAUGAAUGUUAUCUGUCUUGUUGUUCAUCCGGUUGUGGUUGUGUGUGUAUCUAUACUCUGUUGUACUUGUGCGACGCCGUGCAAAUACAGGGGAGACUCUGUCCGUGUGAACAGUGGAUUUUCUAUAUUUGUGGCGGAUCUGGCACUCUGGGGUCAGGUUUUCAAAAAAAAAUUUAUAGCUAAUUUUUCCGCUGUGCUUUUGAACCUAAAAGGGACCCCGGGGCGUGACAAUAUAUAUAUAUAUAUAUAAUCCAGCUACUAUCCUAUUAAUAGGAUAGAGACCAUCGUCCUAUCAAAUCGUUCUUGAUGAUAGAGAUGCCGAAUCGAUGAUUCGAACCAUUGAAGUUAAUCCAGAGUAUUUGAAAUAUCUAGAAGCUAAAUUUCAGAAAUUUUAAAAAUCAUUUACAUGGUGAUCAAAGGAUCGUAAAAUCGACAAUUUUUUAGCCGUUUGCUUGUUUAACGGUGUAGAGCAAUCCAAACUACUUGAAUUUUUGAUAAAAAAGUUUUUAUACUAUUUAGAUAAUAUUUGAUAACUCUAUUCAUGAUUUGAGAAAGUCUAACCUCUAUUUUAAGAAGGUUAUUCAUUUAUGACCGUUCAUUUUUUCAACUCUUCGAUAGACUUGAUAAUGAUUUUCAAAAAUUACAAAAUUCAGUUUUUAAAUAUUUCUUAUAGUAUAGAUUAAUUUUAACGGUGCCGAUUAUCAAUUUGGAGUGUUGAUUAUUCAAAACGACUUGAUAGGAUAAUGGUCCCAAUACUAUUAAUAGGAUGGUAGCCGGACUAUAUAUAUAUAGAUAGUUGAGCUAGAAUACUCUCAAAAGCACCAAGGGGGUGGUGCUUUUGAGUUUUUAAUAAUUGGAUGGAGAGAUGUACGGUUGAGAUGAUGGUGGUAGGUGGUGGUAGGUGAAAUAGUGUUUGAUUCAAAAGCUAUUAGUAAUCAAAAGUAGAUCCAAGGGUUAAAAACUUAGAAGCACCAAAGGUUGGUGCUUCUAAAAGUAUUCUAACUCAAUUAUAUAUAUAUAUAUACUAGCUGAGUGUACGUGCAAAUGCACGUAAUAAUUAUUUUAAUUUAUUUAAAAUUAAUAUAAAUUUGUACAUUACAUUUAUUAAAAAAUUUAUAAUAUAUACUAUAUUUUUUUAAUUUAUAUUAAAUAUUUUAUAUUUUUUGAUUUAUGAUGAUCUAAAAUUUAAAUAUGUUUUUUAAUUUUGAUUUAUUAUAAUUAAAAUUUUUGGAUCUAACAGAUUAAUCAUAACUGUUCGUUCUUAUUUGAAAUUUUUUUAAUUAAAUGGACUGUUCAUUUUUAAUCGACAUAACUGUUCGUAGAAUUGAAUUUAUAAAUAAAUAAAAAUACUAUUUUGUAACAUAUUAAUUAUAAUCGUUCAUUUUUAUUUAAAAUUUUUUUAAUUAA